Molecule: non-coding RNA, 30 nt
Filed under: Rattus norvegicus (Norway rat)
Lineage: Eukaryota; Metazoa; Chordata; Mammalia; Rodentia; Muridae
Source: RNAcentral
UAGUCAAAUCACUAGUAAGGCCUCACCAGG